RNAcentral lists this ribosomal RNA (468 nucleotides) under uncultured bacterium. Its description in RNAcentral is "bacterial SSU rRNA". It matches the Rfam family "Bacterial small subunit ribosomal RNA", at positions 329 to 797 of the family's 1533-position model. The record is from RNAcentral.
UCCCAGACUCCUACGGGAGGCAGCAGUGAGGAAUAUUGGUCAAUGGGCGGGAGCCUGAACCAGCCAAGCCGCGUGAGGGAAGAAGGUACAGCGUAUCGUAAACCUCUUUUGUCAGGGAACAAAGGCGGGGACUAGUCCCCGGAUGAGGGUACCUGAAGAAAAAGCAUCGGCUAACUCCGUGCCAGCAGCCGCGGUAAUACGGAGGAUGCGAGCGUUAUCCGGAUUUAUUGGGUUUAAAGGGUGCGUAGGCGGAUUUUUAAGUCAGCGGUAAAAUGUCCGGGCUCAACCCGGGCCGGCCGUUGAAACUGGGGAUCUUGAGUGGGCGAGAAGUAUGCGGAAUGCGUGGUGUAGCGGUGAAAUGCAUAGAUAUCACGCAGAACUCCGAUUGCGAAGGCAGCAUACCGGCGCCCGACUGACGCUGAGGCACGAAAGCGUGGGGAUCGAACAGGAUUAGAUACCCCCGUACCA